UUGAUUUUAAUCCUUGGACUCCAAACACACACGUCUUCUAUACACAAAAUACGUAAAGUAAAAAUGUGUAGAGCGAAUUUCAUUACGUUUACUUUAAUUUUCUGAAUUUAGUAACAGUAAACGACGCUUUUAAACUGGAACUAACACCAGCAAUGCCAGUGAUUCAUGCUGAUAAUGAUUUGAAAUUGACGUGUCGGAUAAAUGGUUGCCUGACAAAUGUGACCUUCAUGUGGAAAGCAGUUUUGGAUAAAUCUCUCGGCGGACAAGUCAAGGACGAACAGACGGUUACUUACCUGCUGUUCAGGAACAUCUCGACCAAACACAGCAAUACAGUUUUGUGCAGAGCUGCUUGCGGGAAAACACAAAUGUGUUCUCUCCUCCCAGGGACCCCAAAGUGGAGGUUUCUCCAUCCCUACAGGUGAUGGAAGGUCAAAAUGUCACCGUGCGCACCACUGUCAAAGGCUUUCCUCAUCCCUCCACCAUUCUGAGGAGAGAGAGGGAUGGAUUUGAGAUGCAGUCCCAGGAUGGAGUCUUUCACCUGCUUCACCUCACAUCUGAUGAUGAAGGAUCUUACACAGUUUGGUUCAUGAAUGAACUUGGUAAUGAGAGCCACACCUUCCAGUUGAGCAGAAAAACUGAGCAACACAAUGUCUCAGAGAUGCCAGAUCUGCCAACGGCCAUUUUGCCUGCUGCUGCAUCUGUGUCCCUGCUGACUGUCGCAGCUCUGCUUAUCCGAUACCUUAGAAAAUCCAGGAGUGACUCCAGUGACAUCUCAAUGAAUUAAACAGAGAUGACCCAUUACCACAACACAAUAAUUUUCUGCUGAAAGGAACCUUUAUCUGUGCAUUAUCUUUAAAAUAUCUUGUGGACUGGUAUGGAUAUAUGGAUGGCUUGGUUUUGUUUGUAUUGUAAACUUUGUGAAUAGCAGUGUCAUUUUCUUACACACCUAAGAUAGAUAUUUGAUGAACGAUGCGGUGGGGUGUAAAAGCAAUGUAUAUAUUGGUCACUUUACAUUGCAGUGUCAUAUUUUAUACUGUACGUUACAUUUUAAUGGUAUAGUUUAUUUACAUUAGUUACUACUUACUGAUACUAAUAAACAAAAUGUAUUAUAUUCUGUAUUAUGUUAGGUAAUUUGAGUAACUAGGUAAUUUUUUAUUUUUCAAUGUUAAAAUACUUAAAUUGUCCUGUAUAAAUAUGCAGAGACAACCACUUAUGGGGUUUAAAGGGAUAGUUCAUCCAAAAAUGAAAAUGCUUUCAUUAUUUACACACCCUCAUGCCAUCCCAGAUGUGUAUGACUUUCUCCGACUGAACACAAAUGAAGGUUUUCAGAAAAAUAUCUCAGCUCUGUUGGUCCAUACAAUGCAAGUGAGUGGUGAUAAGACUUUUGUAGCUCUAAAAAUCACAUAAAGGAAACAUAGAAGUAAUCCAUAAGACUCCAGUGGUUUAAUCCAUAUCUUCAGAAGUGAUAUAAUAGGCGUGGGUGAGAAACAGAUAAAAAUUUAAGUCCUUUUUUUUACUUAAAAAAGAACUUGUUUUCCUUUUUCCAGACAAUGAACUAUUCACUAAAACUUUUAAACAGCUACUAUACUGAACAUAUCUACAUAAAAUAAUGUAAAAAAACAGAUUAAUGUAAAAAAGUAAAACAUUGCCAUAUUUUGCAUGAAGUGAAGAAAACUCCAUUCCUCAAACUUUGUAGUAACACACACUUCGGUUAUUCCUCCAAAAAACAAUGCAACAAUAAUUUUUGAGUCUUGUACUAGACCUGUUAAAUAUGACAAACA
Molecule: long non-coding RNA, 1781 nt
Organism: Myxocyprinus asiaticus (Chinese sucker)
Lineage: Eukaryota; Metazoa; Chordata; Actinopteri; Cypriniformes; Catostomidae
Exons: 4
Source: RefSeq, a predicted model, not a curated record